UACGUAGGGGGCAAGCGUUGUCCGGAUUUACUGGGCGUAAAGCGCGCGUAGGCGGAACGAUCAGUCCGGUCUGAAAGCCCCCGGCUCAACCGGGGAGGGUGGCUGGAAACUGUCGUUCUUGAGGGCGAGAGAGGAGGGUGGAAUUCCUGGUGUAGCGGUGAAAUGCGUAGAGAUCAGGAGGAACACCAAUUGCGAAGGCAGCUCGCUGGGACGUUACUGACGCUGAGACGCGAAAGCGUGGGGAGCAAACAGG
RNAcentral lists this ribosomal RNA (253 nucleotides) under uncultured bacterium. RNAcentral describes it as "partial 16S ribosomal RNA". It matches the Rfam family "Bacterial small subunit ribosomal RNA", at positions 524 to 776 of the family's 1533-position model. The record is from RNAcentral.